GUCUGUGCCUGCUGGAGGGGAAUUCUCCACUCUCUCUGUUUUCUUUUAGCGCUCUUCCCCUUAACUUGAUCUGAGUUCAUCGACAGAGGUGUACAGCAACCCUGCACUUGGGAUAGCAGACUCACGCCUAGAUUAGGCUAGAAGCCAUGCCUCGGUGUCGCGUGGCUCUCAGGGUCUGCAGUGCAGCCCAAGAUAAAAUUUGCCACUUCUGCAACAAUCCCACAGGGCUCAACGCUCACCACUGUAAUUACAGAUAUUGCAUUAUACAGCAAUAAUUUGUUUGCAUGUCUGUCUCCCCAGCCUCUCAGUCCUCACUCUACACUCCAGGGACAGCGAGACAAGGUAUAGUCAUCUCUGAUUUUUCGAUGGUCUCUGGUACCUAGCAGUUUUC
Molecule: long non-coding RNA, 391 nt
Filed under: Fukomys damarensis (Damara mole-rat)
Lineage: Eukaryota; Metazoa; Chordata; Mammalia; Rodentia; Bathyergidae
Description: lncRNA (ENSFDAG00000028551.1)
Source: RNAcentral